This is an RNA transcript of Prunus persica (peach), 2358 nucleotides long. RefSeq lists it as uncharacterized. The transcript has 3 exons. Lineage: Eukaryota; Viridiplantae; Streptophyta; Magnoliopsida; Rosales; Rosaceae. The record is from RefSeq and is a predicted model, not a curated record.
AAUACAGAUUUUUCGUAAUCAUGCAUAUCCCACUGGUUGCGUUGGUAAAAGAAAAUAGAAAAGCACAAGAAACUUCCAACAAUACAACACACAACGUGUGCCGUCUCCCAUUACUUAACAAGUCUCUCUCCAUUCUCCUCUCUCAACUCUCAAGCAGUUGCUGCUGAAGAACCAAAAUCCCAGAAAAAAAGAAGAAGAAAGAAAGUGAGAGAAAAUGUGCUCUUCAGAAGGUGAUUGCAGGCCUCUGGGCUUUCUGCUCGGCCUUCCUUUUGCUCUCCUCUCCCUCGUCCUCUCCAUCGUCGGCAUCGUUAUCUGGAUCGUCGGAUUGUUGCUGACUUGCAUAUGCCCGUGCUGUUUGUGCGUGACGGUGGUCGUGGAGUUGGCUCUGGAGUUGGUCAAAGCCCCAAUUCAUGUGAUGGAGUGGUUCACUUCUCAAAUCCCCUGCUAAUCUCAUCUCAUUCAGAUUGUUUAAAUUUUUUUAUUUUUAUUUUUUUUAUUUUUAGUUUAGUUUUAUCACUGAGUUUGGUGUUUUAUAUUCAUCAUCACACUGUGUUUACUGUGUACUGUUUAUGUAUUCCAUGGAGGUGAAUAUGUAGAAUUCUAUGUGAAUUUGAGUGGAAAAAAACCCAUCAAAACCCCACAGCAACUCAUCAAAACCCAUAAAAAAAAUCAGAGUAAAAAAAAAAUGAUCAUCACCAUUCUGAAACUUAACCAUUAUACUCAAAACAGCAAUUCAAUUCACAUUAUAUUACAAUAACAUUCAAUCCCUAAUUCAAAAAUCAUCAAGUAACUGCCUUGAUAUCAGUGAAGGAUGGCUUUGGUGAGGCUCUGGCUGUUAUCUGCCUUUGGGUGGAGGUGCGUGAAUGGAGUGGGGUAGCUAGCUGUGUGGGGGAGGUGGGUGGCUGUGGGAUUGGUGGGCGUACAUUUUUACGGCACAUCCACACCUCCAAGGGGAUCAAAACCAGCUCUUCCAUGGGGAUUUUCCAAUUUUCAGAUCCCCCUUUGCCCCGAGGAAUUAGCUGCUGUUCAUGUGCUGCAGCCGGCUUUGGGUGGCUGCUGUGAGUUCUUUGUUUUAAAACCAAUGCUGUAGAGGUAGCGGUGCCUUUGCGUCUGCCUGCUCUGCCCGUGUCUUAAACCAUGGCUGCUGGUUUCAUGUUUGCCCUUGUUCUAUAAUUUGGUCAAACUAAUAUAAUGUGCAUAAGAAUUCCUUUUAUGGUUAAAAAAAACUCAUUAACACAACUUUUUCCUGCGAAACUCUUUUUUUCCUUGGAAGCCACAACUGGAAGCGAAAACAAAACUGAAAACAGAGCGAAUGGACUACGAAAAACCCAUCUUUUGUGUUCUUGAUGCUCUAACCUACGUGAGCUUCUGGAUUCUCAAAGGAUUGCUUGGUAGAGGUUUUCACAGCCCACGCAUCCAGAAGAAUGGGAAGCUUUUGGACAUUUUUCGCAUGUUUUCUUUUUUCUUUCUUUAGGUUUAGGUUUUGAGAAUCUGAGUUAUUUGAUAAAGGGUUUGAUGCAGGGGAAACAAAAAUUCAAAAGAGAAUUAGGGAGAUGGAGAAAGUAGAAGAGAGGUUGUAAGUGUUUGUUGUGGACUACCAGCAUUCUUUUGGCAUUGAAGGGUUGCUCUGCUAUGUUCUGUUGUUUAGAUAGUCCAAAUAUGAUCAGUGGCGAAUCUAGGAAUAUUUCUUCCCCUCCGGGGUCUCAAAAAAAUUUAGACAAAAAAUACCCGUAAAAAUGAAACUCAUUAGUAUUGUCAACAUGAUUCAUGAAAGAAAGUCUCAUUACCAUACAAAUUUUUCUUAACAGUUUUUGGUUGAAGUAUUACCUUUGAGUAUGUUUAAUUUCUGAGUUGUAACACAUACAUACCCAAGCUAGUAAGAUCAUCCUUCACUUGAAAUUGAAAGAACUUUUGUCAUGAUAAUUUGUUAAGCUAAAGAUAAAAGGGGAAUUUACUGAUUGGCUUCUCAUAAAUAUAUUUUCAAUCCCUUCUGCUAGCAAGUAUAAAAUCCGACUGUCCAUUGUAUGUUUGGCCCACAUACGCUUCUUGUAUGUGUGACAUUUAUUUAUUUUUUGUUCAAAGGAGGCAAACUUGCAGAUAACAAACAAGAGCUGCUUAUGAAACAAAACUUGCUCAAGCCAAAUCACAGGAUGAAGGUAGUCACUCAUGAUACAAAAGAGAUCAGAAAAACAUAAAAAAUGGGGCUGGGAAUUGAGGUUUGAAAUUGAAUUUGUUUGUGGGGUUGUCAGGCUGGGAAUAGGAUCGACAUAGUUUUGAUCGCUUAUUCGGAUCGGAUGCCUUCAUGUUGAGCUUUAUAUACAAUUUCUCUAAAUGGAAGUAUGGGGUGAAUAAAGGGCA